Molecule: long non-coding RNA, 197 nt
Organism: Passer domesticus (house sparrow)
Lineage: Eukaryota; Metazoa; Chordata; Aves; Passeriformes; Passeridae
Exons: 3
Source: RefSeq, a predicted model, not a curated record
UCUUCAUGGCUGAUCCUGUCAUCUCAGUUCAGGCAUACACUUGAGGAUCAUAACAGAAUAAAUUUAACUGAGUCUGCCAUGGAAUUGCUGACCAACAUGGAAGUGACAGCUGCCAGAACAAAAGAUAAACAAGGGGAAAGCAUUAUGCAAUGACAACAUUUUGUGUAGGAGCAGUCCAUUGCCAUGUGUAAUCUCCA